GUAGGUGGCAAGCGUUGUCCGGAAUUAUUGGGCGUAAAGCGCGCGCAGGCGGUUCUUUAAGUCUGAUGUGAAAGCCCACGGCUCAACCGUGGAGGGUCAUUGGAAACUGGAGAACUUGAGUACAGAAGAGGAAAGCGGAAUUCCACGUGUAGCGGUGAAAUGCGUAGAGAUGUGGAGGAACACCAGUGGCGAAGGCGGCUUUCUGGUCUGUAACUGACGCUGAGGCGCGAAAGCGUGGGGGAGCAAACAGGAUUAGAUACCCUGGUAGUCCACGCCGUAAACGAUGAGUGCUAAGUGUUAGGGGGUUUCCGCCCCUUAGUGCUGCAGCUAACGCAUUAAGCACUCCGCCCUGGGAGUACGGCCGCAAAGGCUG
This 373-nucleotide ribosomal RNA is filed under the name uncultured organism. Its description in RNAcentral is "partial 16S ribosomal RNA". It matches the Rfam family "Bacterial small subunit ribosomal RNA", at positions 527 to 896 of the family's 1533-position model. The record is from RNAcentral.